Molecule: transfer RNA, 74 nt
Filed under: Patescibacteria group bacterium
Lineage: Bacteria
Description: tRNA-Val
Rfam family: tRNA
About the family: Transfer RNA (tRNA) molecules are approximately 80 nucleotides in length. Their secondary structure includes four short double-helical elements and three loops (D, anti-codon, and T loops).
Source: RNAcentral
GGAGUUGUAGCUCAGUUGGUUAGAGCGGUCCGUUCACAUCGGACAGGUCACAGGUCCGAAUCCUGUCAACUCCA